UACGUAGGGUCCGAGCGUUGUCCGGAUUUAUUGGGCGUAAAGAGCUCGUAGGCGGUUCCGUAAGUCAGAUGUGAAAACUCAGGGCUCAACCCGGAGACGCCAUCUGAUACUGCGGUGACUGGAGUCUGGUAGGGGAACACGGAAUUCCUGGUGUAGCGGUGAAAUGCGCAGAUAUCAGGAGGAACACCGAUGGCGAAGGCAGUGUUCUGGGCCAGUACUGACGCUGAGGAGCGAAAGCGUGGGGAUCAAACAGG
This 254-nucleotide ribosomal RNA is filed under the name uncultured bacterium. Its description in RNAcentral is "partial 16S ribosomal RNA". It matches the Rfam family "Bacterial small subunit ribosomal RNA", at positions 524 to 776 of the family's 1533-position model. The record is from RNAcentral.